Pollicipes pollicipes is the source of this 362-nucleotide long non-coding RNA. RefSeq lists it as uncharacterized. NCBI's taxonomy places the organism in Eukaryota, Metazoa, Arthropoda, Thecostraca, Pollicipedomorpha, Pollicipedidae. The record is from RefSeq and is a predicted model, not a curated record. The transcript has 3 exons.
GAGGCAUUGGUUUUGGUUUUGCACUUGGUGGGCUUCGUUAAGUUAUUUUGCUGUUUCGGUUUGGUUGGGAGUGGCUAGGUAAUGCUGAGUACUUCAUCGAAAGAAAUGAACAUGGAGCUAGCAAGGGAAAGCAUUGAUAUGUUUCUGAACAACCGUGUGGUGGAAGCUGAAGAACUCUUCCGUCAUCACGAUGAAAACUGGCAUGUCAGGAUGGCACAGUGUUAUGCUGCUGUCAUGAGUGCUGUUGUGACAUUUGAAACAGCUCAGCUGGAGCAGACACUGCAACUGCUGAAGGUGACAGAGAAGGCUGUGGCACCUGGCUCUGGCCUUGUCAGCCAGCUAAAGAGCAAGCUGAAGGGCAC